Molecule: ribosomal RNA, 301 nt
Filed under: uncultured bacterium
Lineage: Bacteria
Description: partial 16S ribosomal RNA
Rfam family: Bacterial small subunit ribosomal RNA
Source: RNAcentral
CAGCAGCCGCGGGAAUACAGAGGGUGCGAGCGUUAAUCGGAUUUACUGGGCGUAAAGCGUGUGUAGGUUGUUGUUCAAGUCAGUUGUGAAAUCCCUGGGCUCAACCUGGGAACUGCUUCUGAGACUGAACGACUAGAGUACGGUAGAGGGUGGUGGAAUUUCCGGUGUAGCGGUGAAAUGCGUAGAUAUCGGAAGGAACAUCAAUGGCGAAGGCAGCCACCUGGGCCUGUACUGACACUGAGACACGAAAGCGUGGGGAUCAAACAGGAUUAGAUACCCCAGUAGUCCCUGUCUCUUAUAC